Molecule: RNase P RNA, 417 nt
Filed under: Corynebacterium sp. HMSC04H06
Lineage: Bacteria; Bacillati; Actinomycetota; Actinomycetes; Mycobacteriales; Corynebacteriaceae
Description: Bacterial RNase P class A
Rfam family: Bacterial RNase P class A
About the family: Ribonuclease P (RNase P) is a ubiquitous endoribonuclease, found in archaea, bacteria and eukarya as well as chloroplasts and mitochondria. Its best characterised activity is the generation of mature 5'-ends of tRNAs by cleaving the 5'-leader elements of precursor-tRNAs. Cellular RNase Ps are ribonucleoproteins.
Source: Rfam by way of RNAcentral
UGAGUCGGCCGGGUAAACGCGGCAAAUGAACCGCCCCACGUGUUGGGGCAGGCAGGCGCCGAGGAAAGUCCGGACUCCACAGAGCACGGUGGUUGCUAACAGCAACCCGGGGCAACCCGCGGGCAAGUGCAACAGAAAGUAGACCGCCUGGAGCAAUCCAGGUAAGGGUGAAACGGUGCGUUAAGAGCGCACCAGCACCCCAGGUGACUGGGGUGGCUGGGUAAACCCCACCGGGAGCAAGGCAUCACGGCCUGCCUUUUGGGCAGGCCCGAUCAGGUGUUUGAGGGCUGCUCACCCGAGCCUGAAGGUAGCUGCUUGAGGCGGCCAGCAAUGGUCGACCCAGAUGGAUGUUUACCACGCCGGGGACGGGCAACCGCCCCGCGCGGACAGAAUCCGGCUCACAGGCCGGCUCAUUCG